Long non-coding RNA from Penaeus indicus, 536 nucleotides. RefSeq lists it as uncharacterized. NCBI's taxonomy places the organism in Eukaryota, Metazoa, Arthropoda, Malacostraca, Decapoda, Penaeidae. The record is from RefSeq and is a predicted model, not a curated record. The transcript is spliced from 2 exons.
GUCUUUGUUCGUGUGCUCGAGUGUGGGAUGUAACAGGCAUCCAACGAUUAAAACAAUAAUUUCUUCAGCCACGAAAUUGCGGACUCCAAUUCCUCUCGACCAGUACUGGCUUCGCUCGAUUACUCCGCGAUAAAAUCUACGGUAAUUGGUAGCCGGGUUUGACUGUUCGAUGCUGGAUCUCGGCCCGGUUGUUCCCUUGCGUUAGUCUUUGCCGAUUUACGUUGUACCCACCGAGUGUUUACGAGUGUUUACGAUGGUGUAUUUCUGUUCAUAUACGUGUGUGUGGCACAUACUCGCUCGCACACGCACACACACACGCACAAAUAAAACAAGAGUAUGAUAUCAGAUGGUCAUUGAUAUUUUAACUUUCCCUUAUACAUAUUACAAAUUAUAUUUUUAAGAGGAUUAGCGAAUCUGAUUACUUAUCAUCGAAUGCAAUUAAUACGAUAUAAAUGAAGCCUCGCGUAUAUAUAUGUAUUUCACGAGCAAAAUACAUGAAUGAAUAAACAACAUUAUUAUUAAAAAAAAAAAAAAAA